CAGGCCUAACACAUGCAAGCGAACGUGAGAGUUGAAAUGAGUACUUCGGUAUGAGUUUUGGCUUGAAAUGACGAACGGGUGAGUAACACGUAGGUUACCUGCCCCAAAGUGGGGGAUACCAUUGGAAACGAUGGCUAAUACCGCAUAAUUCUGCUUUUGCGGGAGCAAAGCAGGUAAAGCUCAGGCGCUUUGGGAGGGGCCUGCGGCCGAUUAGCAGUUGGUGGGGUAAUAGCCUACCAAGGCUGUGAUCGGUAGCUGGUCUGAAGCAUGAUCAGUCACAUGGGAACUGAGACACGGUCCCAACUCCUACGGGGGCAGCAGUGAGGAAUAUUGCACAAUGGGGGAAACCCUGAUGCAGCAACCCGCGUGGAGGAUGAAGGUUCUAGGAUUGUAAACUCCUUUUCUGAGGGAGAGCAAGGACGGUACCUCAGGAAUAAGUCACGUGCUAACUACGUGCCAGAGCCGCGGUAAU
Molecule: ribosomal RNA, 472 nt
Filed under: uncultured bacterium
Lineage: Bacteria
Description: bacterial SSU rRNA
Rfam family: Bacterial small subunit ribosomal RNA
Source: RNAcentral